GGUGGGUUGGCCACUGCUCUGGCAUGCGGGGCCUGUGAGCGCGUUGUUCGUGUUGGCUGGAGUGGAGCCCAGCUCGUUGGGCCCCUCAGAGGCGGUUGCGGACUCGCCACUAUGGAGGCUGUGCACUUGGUCAGAGUGGGGCGAUCCCAUGAUGUGGUCGGCGGUCACGACCCCUGUUUGUUGCCACCAGCAUGGAAGUGGUGUGCGGCCGGCGAGAUCUGGAGAGGGGGGGCCCUAACAGGUUGUGGCGUGGCCUAUAUCGGCUUCCCUUGGCCCUUGGGCCCCGUCCUCUUGCGGAGUGGCUUUUGCUAUCCUGGAGAGUGUUGCUGUCUUUGUAUAAGGAUGUUGUGUAGUGUGCUUCACUCUUGUAACUGGUGCUGCUGUCUCUUCCUGGCGGGGGAU
RNAcentral lists this long non-coding RNA (402 nucleotides) under Androctonus crassicauda. The record is from RNAcentral. Lineage: Eukaryota; Metazoa; Arthropoda; Arachnida; Scorpiones; Buthidae.